UUUGAUGAGCAUGGUGUUGAUCGUGGUUGCGAACGUGGUAGGCGACGUGGUCGAAGGAGUAGGAGGAGAACAUGAUAUUAUAUUUCUAUAUUAUUGUAAAACUUGCUUUAAUUUUUGAUAUUCUGUUGUAAUUAUCUGGUAUUGAUACUUUAUUGAUAUUCUGUUGGUACUGAUGUGUGUAUUGUUAAUGCUGAAUUAUUUGUAUUGUUGCAUUGAAUUUGUUGUUGCAUUGUGAUGUUGUAUUGUACUAUUGUGACGA
This 259-nucleotide long non-coding RNA is filed under the name Ananas comosus (pineapple). Its description in RNAcentral is "long non-coding RNA (ACOM_LNC026635)". The record is from RNAcentral. Lineage: Eukaryota; Viridiplantae; Streptophyta; Magnoliopsida; Poales; Bromeliaceae.